CACCACAAUGAAGAGUAGCCCCUGCUCGCCGCAACUACAGGAAGCCCACACACAACAAUGAAGACCCAACACAGUCAUAAAUAAAUAAAUAAAUAAAUAAAAAAGUGCAAGGUUUGAAAUAUUGCAAGAAUUAUCAAAAUGUGACACAGAGACUGAAGAGAGCAAAUACUGUUGGGAAAAUGGUGCCUGAUGCUGGGUUGCUUCAAACCUUCAAUUUGUGAAAAAUGCAGUAUCUGCAAAGCACAAUAAAGCAAAGCUCAAUAAAAUGAGGGAAGGUUUCCACUGAGAAAUCUGCUGACAAUCUACUAGUAGCUCCUUUGUACAGAAAAGUUGCUUUUUCCUGGCUGCUUUCAAGAUUCUUUGCCUGUGACUUUUGACAAUUUGAUUAUAACGUCUGUCGGCUUACAAACUGGCCCCUCUACAAGGAGGGUAAGGAGAGACUGAAGAAUGAAGCAGACCACUUCAUACUGAAAAAUGCUAAACAGAUAACUACAGGCUAGGGAAAGGACUGUGCUAGCUGGCAUGCAGUAAGAGCAACAGGAACAACAGUAAUGGCAGUAACAUAUACGGACUUCCUGUGAGUUGGCCACUGUUUUGAUUUACAUGUAUUAACUCAUUUAGUGCUGACACCACUAUGAGGUAAGUACAAUCUUUAUUUCUCAGUUUACAGAUGAGGAAAGUGAGGUGCAGAGAGGUGAAAUAGCUUGUUCAAAGUUAUCCCGUUGUUAAGUAGUAAGGCCAGGAUUUGAACUUUUGAUAGUGGAGCUCCAGGCUGUACUUCACACCUUUGAACUAUCUUGCCUCUAGUGACUUGCUGCCUUUCUUCACUGUGGUUCACCUAGCUUCACCUUUGGGCUCAGGCCCAGACCAAGUUUUCCCUAGUUUCUCCUUUCAGGCCUCUUACAGCCACUCUGGCAAGUACUGCUUUCCAAAGCCAGUGGAAAACAUUGAUAGACUUCCCUAUUUUUUCUGUUGUAAAAAAGGCAAAUUGAAGUCAUGGAGUAAGAUACAAAUCUCUCCUGCUUUCAGGUGGCAAGGGAGGUGAACCUAAACCAACCUUGCUGUAUUUCUCAGAUUACUAUCUCAGCAU
Long non-coding RNA from Balaenoptera acutorostrata (minke whale), 1090 nucleotides. RefSeq lists it as uncharacterized. The record is from RefSeq and is a predicted model, not a curated record. NCBI's taxonomy places the organism in Eukaryota, Metazoa, Chordata, Mammalia, Artiodactyla, Balaenopteridae. The transcript is spliced from 4 exons.